AUUAAAAAUGUUUGUCAACAAAUGCCGUUAUUGAUUAUUUCAUUACUGUUGUGUUACAGCUUAGCGUGACGAUAAGAUAACAGCUGCGUGCAAAAUGGCGGCGAGUUCGGGGUCAACCGGCAGCAGGAAAAGAAAACACACUGUUGUCACGGAUGAGGGUGAAAAACGGCACAGAUGUCGCACUGGAUCUGUUCUGCUCUGACGCAAGAGUAUCAGGUUGUGCAAUCAGAUCGCUCGCGACUUCGAGAUGGAUUCAGUUAAAACGAAAGUAACAACCCAGCAUGAGUGAAUUGGUUUAAAGCAGAAAUCCUCCAUACAGUCAUCAACAUGCAGCUACUAUAAGCUUUAAAUUGUCAAAAUAAAAGAUAGUUAAAUUUAAUAAGUGUUUUCUUGCUAUGGUUCUCACCUUCCCCAGUGACCUCCUCUGAACCUCAGAAGCAUUUCCAUACCAGAAAAUCACACAAAAUGUCAGAAUGCUUUCAAUAAAAUAAAUAAAACAUCAAAAUGAUUUUGCUUAUGGACUUUAAAUGAAAGCGAUUUCUUUAAGAAGUAAGUCUGUGCAUCCCACCUAAGUUUAUGGUCCAGCAUUAUACCAAGGUAUUUGUAGUUUGUAACGAAUUGUAUUUAGAAAGGUUGUAAAUGUGAUCAAUAACCAUCUCCUUAGUUUUGGAGAUAUUUAAGAGGAGAUUUGAAAUUUCACACCAAUUUAAAAAGAAAUCCAAAACAUUCCCAUUUUCUUCCUUCUGAUCAUGUAAAAUCAUGUAAAACGCUAAUUCCUCUCCACUGCUUCUCUUUCU
Long non-coding RNA from Silurus meridionalis, 797 nucleotides. RefSeq lists it as uncharacterized. The record is from RefSeq and is a predicted model, not a curated record. The transcript has 4 exons. NCBI's taxonomy places the organism in Eukaryota, Metazoa, Chordata, Actinopteri, Siluriformes, Siluridae.